RNAcentral lists this ribosomal RNA (1543 nucleotides) under Streptococcus thermophilus. Its description in RNAcentral is "bacterial SSU rRNA". It matches the Rfam family "Bacterial small subunit ribosomal RNA". The record is from RNAcentral. Lineage: Bacteria; Bacillati; Bacillota; Bacilli; Lactobacillales; Streptococcaceae.
AGAGUUUGAUCCUGGCUCAGGACGAACGCUGGCGGCGUGCCUAAUACAUGCAAGUAGAACGCUGAAGAGAGGAGCUUGCUCUUCUUGGAUGAGUUGCGAACGGGUGAGUAACGCGUAGGUAACCUGCCUUGUAGCGGGGGAUAACUAUUGGAAACGAUAGCUAAUACCGCAUAACAAUGGAUGACACAUGUCAUUUAUUUGAAAGGGGCAAUUGCUCCACUACAAGAUGGACCUGCGUUGUAUUAGCUAGUAGGUGAGGUAAUGGCUCACCUAGGCGACGAUACAUAGCCGACCUGAGAGGGUGAUCGGCCACACUGGGACUGAGACACGGCCCAGACUCCUACGGGAGGCAGCAGUAGGGAAUCUUCGGCAAUGGGGGCAACCCUGACCGAGCAACGCCGCGUGAGUGAAGAAGGUUUUCGGAUCGUAAAGCUCUGUUGUAAGUCAAGAACGGGUGUGAGAGUGGAAAGUUCACACUGUGACGGUAGCUUACCAGAAAGGGACGGCUAACUACGUGCCAGCAGCCGCGGUAAUACGUAGGUCCCGAGCGUUGUCCGGAUUUAUUGGGCGUAAAGCGAGCGCAGGCGGUUUGAUAAGUCUGAAGUUAAAGGCUGUGGCUCAACCAUAGUUCGCUUUGGAAACUGUCAAACUUGAGUGCAGAAGGGGAGAGUGGAAUUCCAUGUGUAGCGGUGAAAUGCGUAGAUAUAUGGAGGAACACCGGUGGCGAAAGCGGCUCUCUGGUCUGUAACUGACGCUGAGGCUCGAAAGCGUGGGGAGCGAACAGGAUUAGAUACCCUGGUAGUCCACGCCGUAAACGAUGAGUGCUAGGUGUUGGAUCCUUUCCGGGAUUCAGUGCCGCAGCUAACGCAUUAAGCACUCCGCCUGGGGAGUACGACCGCAAGGUUGAAACUCAAAGGAAUUGACGGGGGCCCGCACAAGCGGUGGAGCAUGUGGUUUAAUUCGAAGCAACGCGAAGAACCUUACCAGGUCUUGACAUCCCGAUGCUAUUUCUAGAGAUAGAAAGUUACUUCGGUACAUCGGUGACAGGUGGUGCAUGGUUGUCGUCAGCUCGUGUCGUGAGAUGUUGGGUUAAGUCCCGCAACGAGCGCAACCCCUAUUGUUAGUUGCCAUCAUUCAGUUGGGCACUCUAGCGAGACUGCCGGUAAUAAACCGGAGGAAGGUGGGGAUGACGUCAAAUCAUCAUGCCCCUUAUGACCUGGGCUACACACGUGCUACAAUGGUUGGUACAACGAGUUGCGAGUCGGUGACGGCGAGCUAAUCUCUUAAAGCCAAUCUCAGUUCGGAUUGUAGGCUGCAACUCGCCUACAUGAAGUCGGAAUCGCUAGUAAUCGCGGAUCAGCACGCCGCGGUGAAUACGUUCCCGGGCCUUGUACACACCGCCCGUCACACCACGAGAGUUUGUAACACCCGAAGUCGGUGAGGUAACCUUUUGGAGCCAGCCGCCUAAGGUGGGACAGAUGAUUGGGGUGAAGUCGUAACAAGGUAGCCGUAUCGGAAGGUGCGGCUGGAUCACCUCCUUUCU